This 262-nucleotide ribosomal RNA is filed under the name uncultured archaeon. Its description in RNAcentral is "partial 16S ribosomal RNA". It matches the Rfam family "Archaeal small subunit ribosomal RNA", at positions 716 to 982 of the family's 1478-position model. The record is from RNAcentral.
AGUCACUGACAUUAGAUACCCGCGUAGUCCAGGGUGUAAACGCUGCAGACUUGGUGUUGGAAGUCCUUUGGGGGCAUUCAGUGCCGGAGAGAAGUUGUUAAGUCUGCUACUUGGGAGUACGUCCGCAAGGCUGAAACUUAAAGGAAUUGGCGGGGAGCACCGCAACGGGAGGAGCGUGCGGUUUAAUUGGAUUCAACACCGUAAACUCACCAGGGAAGACUGUUACAUGAAGGCCGAGAUGAAGACUCUGCUAGAUUUUCAG